Molecule: ribosomal RNA, 220 nt
Filed under: uncultured bacterium
Lineage: Bacteria
Description: partial 16S ribosomal RNA
Rfam family: Bacterial small subunit ribosomal RNA
Source: RNAcentral
GAUCAUGGCUCAGGAUGAACGCUAGCGACAGGCUUAACACAUGCAAGUCGAGGGGCAGCGGGGAGUAGCAAUACUCUGCCGGCGACCGGCGCACGGGUGAGUAACGCGUAUGCAACUUGCCUAUCAGAGGAGAAUAGCUCAUCGAAAGAUGAAUUAAUGCUCCAUGAAAUAGGGGUCUCGCAUGGGAAUAUUUGUUAAAGAUUCAUCGCUGAUAGAUAGG